GUGUAUGUCUCUCUCUGCCCCUCCUCCACUCACGCUGUCUCGCAAACUAAAUAUUUAGAAGUAAAUAAGAAUAAAAAAUAAACUGUGCUUUGAAUGAAAAAUGGGAAAAGAACAUGUAAAAAUAAGCGUGCUUUGAUAUGGCUGAAUUAUAUGUGAAAUUUUGUUCUUGAAAUUGUUUCUUUAUAAUGUUUUGAUAUCAAGCCAAUUAACAGUAAAACAGUUAUUGGAAGAGUGGGGAACAACUGAAAAGAGAAUCUACCUUGAGAAUUUGUUUCUUAAAAGCAUCACAAGAAAGGUAUGUGUGUCCAGUUUUAGCAAGACAAGAAUGUCUGCCUUUUCAGAAGGAAAGGGAGUCCAAACUUUAUUGGAUUGUUAACUUCAGCAAUCUUUUACCUUUGACAUAAUUUUUAGAAGAAAUUUAAAUUGUCAAAACUUAAAGGGCCAAGAAGUCCUCCAGAGAGUGGGUCCUGUGGAUAAAGAAAGAAAAAUUGGAAGGCUUGCACCUUGGUAGAGAAACAAAAGUGAAAUAUGUCCCAAGUGAAUUCCUUGACUGGAGAGGCACAAGGAAUUUGUUGAUAAAAGGGUUGUUAACCUAUAGAUUAUACAAAUGCUCACUUUUUUUUUUUUUUUCUUCUUAAGCUAGAAGAAUGGAGUCUAAAGGCUUAGGUUAAUAUAUUGAUGUAACCUGGAGAAAAUUCAACACUUGGAAUUGAAAAAGGGGGAAGAUCUCUUUUAAGGAUAUUUAUUACUUCACUUGGAAAGUAGUCAAAUGAUGAGCGAUUCAAGGUCAAGAAAAAAGUGGCUGGUGAGUCUAAGAGCUGUGGCUAGUACCUCUAGAACAGUGCUCUUAUCCCAUCAGCACACUGGCUACCUGUGGAGAGCAUCAGGAUGCCUACUUUGAGGAGAAAUAACGGCGAUCCAGCCCCGAGUCCUGGCUGAGUCAGUUGGACCUUUUCUCUCCCCUCAUAAGUUCCUGGUUUUACUAAUAAUGCCCAUAAAAAAACUACUUUUGAACUCAUGGCUAUUUUUAUUCCGCAAAUAAAGCAAUGUAGUAUGGAACGGA
Long non-coding RNA from Felis catus (domestic cat), 1063 nucleotides. RefSeq lists it as uncharacterized. The transcript is spliced from 2 exons. The record is from RefSeq and is a predicted model, not a curated record. Lineage: Eukaryota; Metazoa; Chordata; Mammalia; Carnivora; Felidae.